GCAGCCAUUUUUGGAUGCAUGUGCUUGCCCUAACAAUCAUCUUCCAAACACCUGUGCACAUUUUUGAGGGAGUCUUGAGUUGGUUGCCGCUCUUGGGUGAUUUUCUUACAUUCCCUUAAAUCAUUAUACGCUAUUAACAAUGUUGAACGUGCUCUGUGCCGCAAGGCCAUUAAUAUAAUACAACUUUUAACAACGGAUCUCUUGGCUCUCGCAUCGAUGAAGAACGCAGCGAAAUGCGAUAAGUAAUGUGAAUUGCAGAAUUCAGUGAAUCAUCGAAUCUUUGAACGCACCUUGCGCUCCCUGGUAUUCCGGGGAGCACACCUGUUCGAGUGUCGCGAAAUUUCUCAAGUUUGGAUGGAUUUUUUUUUGUCCGUCCUUAGCCUUGGUUGUUGGGCUUUGCCGUGUCCUUCAUUGGUACGGCUGGCCUUAAAAGCAUCAGCUGAUCCUCGUGUGGCACUGGUUCUACUCAGCGUGAUAACAGUCUGAUCGCUGAGGACAUCUUUUGGGAUGGCCAGCUCUCAUUUGGGUU
Molecule: ribosomal RNA, 529 nt
Filed under: uncultured fungus
Lineage: Eukaryota; Fungi
Description: eukaryotic LSU rRNA
Rfam family: 5.8S ribosomal RNA (bases 182-335)
Source: RNAcentral